GGCGCCGCGGCGGCCGCGGAGCCCGGGGACCCCGCCCAGGUGAGCGGGGCUGGCCGUGCAGCCCGUCGUCCCCGCCGCCUCCCCACCCCACGCCGAGGUUCCCGUGGCGAGGGCGGGCACUGGGCGCGGGGCGACAGGGUCGUGCCGAGGACCGUCGGCUCGGCUCCGGUGCUGGAAGCGUAGACUUCGGCCCCAAUCCUCUGGCCCGGUUCGCGGAGGGAAGGGGCCAGCAGGCUGCUUGCCCCCUCGUCAGGGGCUCCCCUGCUCCUUCUCUAGAGAGCCCGCAAGCCCCGGGGUCGCCGGCGUCCAGACCUGCCCGCGCCAGAGCUGUGGACCGAGCUGACCGGCCUGAUCGGUAGGUGCGGGCUGGGAGCCCCGCUGUGCGAGGGCGGUGCCGGGACCUCCCUGGGAGGGCGGAGGCCUGGUUCUAGCACGUGACCCGAAAUGCCUCCCGCUCCCCUCCAUGACCGGCAGGCAGCUCCGAGCCUGAAAAUGGGUCGGAAAGCGGAGCCGAGGGCCGCGCAGCAGCUGUGUCCCUGGAGGAGGCCCUCCUGCGCCUCGCCGAGUUCCUCUCCGUCCAGCUGGGGGCGGAAGAGAGCUGCGGGAGCCCGGCCGACCUGGGCCAGGUGAGCUCGGCGGAGGGGCUGCUGGCAGCUGUCACCUGCCAGGCCUUCUUGGCUCUCACAGCCCUGCUCCGAUUUUUAUCUCCUUCACAGUCUGGCGAGGUCCCCCCACUGUUGACAGUGACCAGUCAGCUCUUGGCCCUUCUGGCAUGGCUUCGGAGCCCCAGGGGGAGGCAGGCCCUGCUCCAGGGAACUCAGCCAGCCCCUCGGGUCCGGCCCCCCACUCCAGAUGGAUCCACAUCCCAAGAAGAAAGCACUUCCCACCUCGCCGCAGUCCCAGGGGAGCCACUGGGGGAUGAGGCCCAGGGACAGCAGCCCCUCCAGUUGGAGGACGACCAGAGAGAGUGGCAGCGGCUGGAACAGCUCAUCCUCGGACAGCUGGAGGAGCUGAAGCAGCAGCUGGAACAGCAGGAGGAGGAGCUGGGUCGACUGCGCCUGGGCGUGGGGGCGACAGACUCAGAGAAAAGGGUUCAGCAUCUCACUCUGGAGAACGAGGCCCUGAAGCAGAGCCUGAGCCUCAUGCGGGACCUUCUGCUGCACUGGGGUCCCGGCCCCCCUACCAGGGCUCCGCAGGAGGAGGCGGAGGCAUUGGUGGAGCUUCAGGGCCGGCUUCAGGAGGCCCAGGACACCACAGAAGCCCUCCGAGCCCAGGACUUCGGGCACGGAUGGCCAGCCUGCGUCAGGGCUGCGGCGAUCUCCGAGGAUUGGUCAGCACCUUUACCCAGAGCUGUCAGGGUUCGCUGAGUGAGGCCCGGGGCCAGGUCAGGACCCCUCACCGCCUAGCCCCUCCUCUCUGGGCAGCCUAUUCACUGUUCUUUUGACGGGGGUGCUCCUGGGGAGUUGGCUGUACUAAUAAGUGGGGCUCUGGAACCCAAACAGCUUCUGUGUGACCCAGGCUGGGACUUCGCUUCUGGGUCUGGUUUUCAUCAUGUGCAUACUUGGGUGACAGUAAACUCUUUUUUUUUUCAAUUUUAAUAAUAAAUUUUAUUUAUUCUAAUAGAUCUCUUUUUUUUUUUUGAGACGGAGUCUCGCUGUGUCGCCCAGGCUGGAGUGCAGUGGUGCGAUCUCGGCUCGCUGCAAGCUCUGCCUCCUGGGUUCACGCCAUUCUCCUGCCUCAGCCUCCAAGUA
This is a long non-coding RNA of Rhinopithecus bieti (black snub-nosed monkey), 1751 nucleotides long. The record is from Ensembl. Lineage: Eukaryota; Metazoa; Chordata; Mammalia; Primates; Cercopithecidae.